Molecule: long non-coding RNA, 233 nt
Organism: Cyprinus carpio (common carp)
Lineage: Eukaryota; Metazoa; Chordata; Actinopteri; Cypriniformes; Cyprinidae
Exons: 2
Source: RefSeq, a predicted model, not a curated record
UUUUGUGUUGAAGAUCAAUAGACUGCGUCUGUGGACAUAAGUUAUUUGAAUCAACUUGAUCCUGUCUCAAAGAUUCUAAUUUGGUGUCCCAGCGUUUCAGAGGAUGAGCAAAGACAUCGAACACUUGGACCAAACUGCACUGGCCACCUAGAUGAACAUGCCUGAACAUCCACAGAACACAACAACAUCCGCCACUUCCACAAGAUCGCAACAUUAAAAUAAAAAAAGAAAUU